GGUUGACCUCGGAUCAGGUAGGAGUUACCCGCUGAACUUAAGCAUAUCA
Molecule: ribosomal RNA, 49 nt
Filed under: Talaromyces amyrossmaniae
Lineage: Eukaryota; Fungi; Ascomycota; Eurotiomycetes; Eurotiales; Trichocomaceae
Description: partial 28S ribosomal RNA
Source: RNAcentral